Long non-coding RNA from Vulpes vulpes (red fox), 2195 nucleotides. The record is from Ensembl. Lineage: Eukaryota; Metazoa; Chordata; Mammalia; Carnivora; Canidae.
AUGCGCGUGUGGGGGGCGUGGCUGACGCGUAACCAGAGCUCCCGCUGGGCGGGUCAGCAGAGGCCCGGCGCUGGUACCGUGAUGGCUGUUCCGUCCGCGCCAUUCGGUGCUGCCUCCGUUCCACUGUGGACCCCGGGCCCUCAGACCCAAAGCUGGCGGAGGAGUGAAAAUGAGAAAGACAUCAGAUGGUCUGAUUCGUCUGGUGACGGUGGAGUGGAGUGGACAUCUCGAACGUCCUGCCGUCUUUCUCCCCGACCACAGUUUCUUCUGUUCUCCUCGGACAUCUGGGAGCGGUCCCUAGAAACUACCACCUCUGCGCCUCGACCUAUUUCCCCGGUCGCCGGGGCAUUAAGGACUACGGGUCACCACACGGGCCAAAAGAGCCUCCCUCUGCUUUUGCUCGGAGCAGAGCCACCAAGGGAGGCAGCAUGCUGCAAGCGAUCAGCCGCUGGAUGUGUUGUCAGGCAGAGGGAGAAGCAGACUCCAUGCAGGGAGCCGACAUGGGACUCGAUCCCAGGACCCCGUGAUCACGCCCUGGACCAAAGGCAGACGCUCAACCACUGAGCCGCCCAGGUGCCCCAGAUUAUUUCUUUUUAAAAUUUUGUCUUCACAUGUUUGUAGGCUGUCUACGAGCUUAUUUUUGGAGUCUUCACCCUAUAAUAAGUAAAAACGUACCUAUCUCCCACAGUAAAACAAAACACCCAGCACAUCCUCACUCUUUCCUUCCCAACACGCAAAUGAAAAGUUUUGUUUUAUAGAAUUCCAUUUCUGAUGUUGGAUUUCAUGUACAUUUUUGUUAGAGCAAUCUAAGUUGUUUCAAGGCAACCUAGCUGAUGUAGGUUGAGCCUUGCAAGGCAUGUAUAGCUAACAGUGGAGAAGAAAAGCACAAAAGUGGAUGUUAGGGACUGAAUUGCGUCCCCAUGACCUUUAAGUGUUGAAGCUCUAGCCCCCAGUAUGACUAUCUCUGGGGAUGGGGCUUUUCAGGAGAAAAUUAGAGUUAAAUGAGGUGGUGAGGGUGAAGCCCUAAUCCAACAGGACUGUGUCCUUCUAAGAAGAGGAAGAGACACCGGUGUGCUUUCUCUUUAUGCACAGGCAAAGGAAAGGCUGUGUGAGAAGAUGGCCACCUGCUCGCCAGGGAGAGAGGCCUCAGGAGAAACCAAACCUGUUAGCACCUUGAUCUUGGCCUUCCAGCCAAAAGACCCUACAAUGUAAGCCCUCCUGUAUGCAAUGUUUUGUGACAAUAGCCCUGGCAGCCUGAUACAGUUGAGUAUUUUAUGAUCUUCUCUUGCUCUAUGUUGAUGGAAAGUGCUCUAUGAACAUUUUCUUAUCUGAUCCUGGGAGAAGUUCAUUGAAAUGGCAAAACUUUUUAAAGGGACCAAAUGGAGAGACCUAUUUCCAAGGAUGCUUAAGACUUGCUGACUCGGCUAAACCUAGCAGACAUGUCAGCUUGGAAGCAGCCUCCUCUGCUGUGAGCUCUUGCCUCCCCGGGAACAGCCACUUGGAGUUUUCUAGGCUGGAGGGUUCCCAGGUGUGCCUGAUUUACCUGUGUGCCAAUGUAUCUGUGCGCCGAUGUACCUGCAGAGUGUUACUUUGUGCUGGUGGACCGGCCACAUAUGUAUCUUCUGCUCUGAUGGAGUGAUUGUGGAGCUUCCCCAGCUACUUAAUUCCUGCCUGUCAUUGGUUUGGCAUUUGAAAGUGAAAUCACAGACCUGGAUGCUGGCCAGGCUUUGGAGCUUGCUCUCCCCAUGUCUACCUUUCAGUUUAUGUACCUGUUUGCUUACUCGUAAGUUGAAGUGCACCCUGCUGCAUUUCACAAAUAAUGCAGCAAAUCCUUGAGAUUUAUUUUAAGGAUUGAUUAGAAAAGUCAAUGUUGUACACGAAGGAUUAAAACAAGAAAUAUUUGGAAUCUGCUUAUGUAUCUGUUAUCUCAAAGCCAAGUCUUGAUUCCUCCAAAAAUAUACUGCCACAAGCAAAAAGACUAUACACAUUGUAUAGUCUAUAUCAUGGGAAGAACGCGGGGCUGGCCCUCAGAAGACCUAGAUCCUGAUCUGAAUCUUGCUGCUUACCGAUGGUGUCACCUCGAGUUAGAGAACCUUCUCAGGCCUUGGGUUGUGCUUGCUUUCUUUCUUUCUUUCUUUCUUUCUUUCUUUCUUUCUUUUGUGAAACCAUAUAAAAUAAAUGUACCAUCUUAACCA